RNAcentral lists this ribosomal RNA (205 nucleotides) under uncultured bacterium. RNAcentral's name for it is "partial 16S ribosomal RNA". It matches the Rfam family "Bacterial small subunit ribosomal RNA", at positions 335 to 535 of the family's 1533-position model. The record is from RNAcentral.
ACUCCUACGGGAGGCAGCAGUGGGAAUAUUGCACAAUGGGCGCAAGCCUGAUGCAGCCAUGCCGCGUGUGUGAAGAAGGCCUUCGGUUGUAAAGCACUUUCAGUUGUGAGGAAAGGUUAGUCGCUAAUAUCGCUAGCUGUGACGUUAGCAACAGAAGAAGCACCGGCUAACUCCGUGCCAGCAGCCNCGGUAAUACGGAGGGUGC